GAGGGUAUAGCUCAGGGGUAGAGUGCGUACCUAGCACGCACAAGGUCCUGGGUUCAAUCCCUAGUACCUCCU
Camelus ferus (Wild Bactrian camel) is the source of this 72-nucleotide transfer RNA. It matches the Rfam family "tRNA". Rfam says of the family: Transfer RNA (tRNA) molecules are approximately 80 nucleotides in length. Their secondary structure includes four short double-helical elements and three loops (D, anti-codon, and T loops). Further hydrogen bonds mediate the characteristic L-shaped molecular structure. tRNAs have two regions of fundamental functional importance: the anti-codon, which is responsible for specific mRNA codon recognition, and the 3' end, to which the tRNAs corresponding amino acid is attached (by aminoacyl-tRNA synthetases). tRNAs cope with the degeneracy of the genetic code in two manners: having more than one tRNA (with a specific anti-codon) for a particular amino acid; and 'wobble' base-pairing, i.e. permitting non-standard base-pairing at the 3rd anti-codon position. The record is from Rfam. Lineage: Eukaryota; Metazoa; Chordata; Mammalia; Artiodactyla; Camelidae.